GACGAACGCUGGCGACGUGCCUAAUACAUGCAAGUUGAGCGCUGAAGGUUGGUACUUGUACCAACUGGAUGAGCAGCGAACGGGUGAGUAACGCGUGGGGAAUCUGCCUUUGAGCGGGGGACAACAUUUGGAAACGAAUGCUAAUACCGCAUAAAAACUUUAAACACAAGUUUUAAGUUUGAAAGAUGCAAUUGCAUCACUCAAAGAUGAUCCCGCGUUUUAUUAGGUAGUUGGUGAGGUAAAGGCUCACCAAGGGGUUGAUACAUAGCCGACCUGAUAGGGGGAUCGGCCACACUGGGACGGAGACACGGCCCAAACGCCUACGGGAGGCAGCAGUAGGGAAUCUUCGGCGAUGGACGAAAGACUGACCGAGCAACGCCGCGUGAGUGAAGAAGGAUGUCGGAUCGUAAAACUCUGUUGGUAGAGAAGAACGUUGGUGAGAGUGGAAAGCUCAUCAAGUGACGGUAACUACACAGAAAGGGACGGCUAACUACGUG
Molecule: ribosomal RNA, 497 nt
Filed under: uncultured bacterium
Lineage: Bacteria
Description: partial 16S ribosomal RNA
Rfam family: Bacterial small subunit ribosomal RNA
Source: RNAcentral